GGUACCAUCAGGUCUCCCGACCUAUUGAUCGAGAGCUUUUUUUCCCUACUUGACAGAGCUUUACGACCCGAAAGCCUUCUUCACUCACGCGGCGUUGCUGCGUCAGGGUUUCCCCCAUUGCGCAAAAUUCCUC
RNAcentral lists this ribosomal RNA (133 nucleotides) under uncultured bacterium. RNAcentral's name for it is "partial 16S ribosomal RNA". The record is from RNAcentral.